This 431-nucleotide ribosomal RNA is filed under the name uncultured bacterium. RNAcentral's name for it is "partial 16S ribosomal RNA". It matches the Rfam family "Bacterial small subunit ribosomal RNA", at positions 29 to 507 of the family's 1533-position model. The record is from RNAcentral.
AACGAACGCUGGCGGCAGGCCUAACACAUGCAAGUCGAGCGCCCUUUCGGGGGAGCGGCGGACGGGUGAGUAACGCGUGGGAAUAUGCCCUUCUCUACGGAAUAGCCUCGGGAAACUGAGAGUAAUACCGUAUACGCCCUGUGGGGGAAAGAUUUAUCGGGGAAGGAUUAGCCCGCGUUGGAUUAGGUAGUUGGUGGGGUAAUGGCCUACCAAGCCGACGAUCCAUAGCUGGUUUGAGAGGAUGAUCAGCCACACUGGGACUGAGACACGGCCCAGACUCCGACGGGAGGCAGCAGUGGGGAAUCUUAGACAAGGGGGGCAACCCUGAUCUAGCCAUGCCGGGGGAGUGAUGAAGGCCUUAGGGUUGUAAAGCUCUUUCAGCUGGGAAGAUAAUGACGGUACCAGCAGAAGAAGCCCCGGCUAACUCCGUG